Molecule: long non-coding RNA, 1146 nt
Organism: Rhododendron vialii
Lineage: Eukaryota; Viridiplantae; Streptophyta; Magnoliopsida; Ericales; Ericaceae
Exons: 4
Source: RefSeq, a predicted model, not a curated record
CAAGUCGAGAAGCAAAUAGCAAUGACUUUAUGCAACUUGGAAAAAGAUUUCCCUCCCUCAUUUUUCAUAGUUAUGGUGCAUUUAGUCAUUCAUUUGGCUACGGAGGCUAAAAUUGCUCGGCAUGUUCAUUACCGUUGAAUGUAUCCAAUUGAGAGGUAUCUCCAGCGACUUAAGUCGUACGUUUGCAAUAGAGCCCACCCCGAGGGUUCUAUUGCAAAAGGAUACAUAGCAAAAGAGUGCCUAACAUUCUGUUCAUGAUAUUUAGACUCGGUCAAGACCGUAUUUAAUCGACCGUCGUGAAACGUUAAAGAUGCUUCUGGGUCGAUAACGAAUUUCGAACUUGAUCAAAAGUCGUGAACACAAGCACAUUGUUAUGUGUUAUUCAAUAGUGAUGAAAUAAUUCCAUAUCGCAUGGGACAUAAAGAAUAUAUAAAAAGACAAAGUCGCCCUCAUCGCCUAAGUGAUGAAGCUGUCAACAAGAUUCACAUGGAAAAGUUUUGUGACUGGUUUAGAUCAUAUGUUAGGGUUAUUAAUAACACAAGGAAACAACAGCUGAGUGAAAAAAUCAAAUGGCUUGCCCGAGGUCCAAACAUUGAGGCUAGAACAUUCAAACGUCAUGCUGUUAAUGGUUUCAAGUUUCGAGUAAAAAGUAGCGAGGAAACCAAAAAACCUUAGAAUAGUGGGGUGUGUGUGGUAGUUGAAGGAGGAAGUUUAUACUACGGCAUUCUAUCAGAUAUUGUUGAGUUAAUUUAUUUUGAAAAGUUGAGAUAUGUCUUAUUCAAAUGUGAUUGGGCUGAUGUCAACACAAGCAGGGACCAUAAGAUAGAUGAAUAUGGUUUUGUUCUUGUGAAUUUCUCACGUUUGAUACACACGGGAGAGCGGUUGAACGAUGAACCAUUCAUUAUGGCUUCUCAAGCUUCACAAGUUUAUAUUAUGUAAAAGAUCCAAGAGAUAAAAGGAUGGCUCGUUGCGGUUAGGACAAAAGCUAGGGAUGUGUUUGAUGUUGGUAACAGUGAAAGGGAAGAAGAUGAUGCUGGCACGUAUUAUGACAAUGAGCCUUAUGAUCUGCUAGUUGAAGACAUGCCUGUAGAUGGACAUGACAACCUUGAUUGGCUUAGAAAUGAUGCAAUCAGGACUACCAUCGAU